RNAcentral lists this ribosomal RNA (253 nucleotides) under uncultured bacterium. Its description in RNAcentral is "partial 16S ribosomal RNA". It matches the Rfam family "Bacterial small subunit ribosomal RNA", at positions 524 to 776 of the family's 1533-position model. The record is from RNAcentral.
CACGGGGGGAGCAAGCGUUGUUCGGAAUCACUGGGCGUAAAGGGCGUGUAGGCGGUCAAGUAAGUGGAAUGUGAAAGCCCCCGGCUUACCCGGGGAUCUGCAUCCCAAACUGCUUGGCUUGAGUACGGGAGAGGAUAGGGGAAUUCCUGGUGUAGCGGUGAAAUGCGUAGAUAUCUGGAGGAACACCGGUGGCGAAGGCGGCAUCCUGGACCAACACUGACGCUGAGGAGCGAAAGCCAGGGGAGCAAACGGG